RNAcentral lists this ribosomal RNA (253 nucleotides) under uncultured bacterium. RNAcentral describes it as "partial 16S ribosomal RNA". It matches the Rfam family "Bacterial small subunit ribosomal RNA", at positions 524 to 776 of the family's 1533-position model. The record is from RNAcentral.
GACGUAGGAUGCAAGCGUUGUCCGGAAUUAUUGGGCGUAAAGAGUUCGUAGGCGGUUAUCUAAGUCUGGUGUUAAAGCCCGAAGCUCAACUUCGGCAUGGCAUUGGAAACUGGGUAGCUAGAGUGUGGUAGAGGUCUCGGGAAUUCCUGGUGUAGCGGUGAAAUGCGCAGAUAUCAGGAGGAACACCGAUUGCGAAGGCAGCUCGCUGGGACGUUACUGACGCUGAGACGCGAAAGCGUGGGGAGCAAACAGG